This is a long non-coding RNA of Daphnia pulicaria, 1105 nucleotides long. RefSeq lists it as uncharacterized. The record is from RefSeq and is a predicted model, not a curated record. The transcript is spliced from 3 exons. NCBI's taxonomy places the organism in Eukaryota, Metazoa, Arthropoda, Branchiopoda, Diplostraca, Daphniidae.
GUGUCAUACGAUUUGUUGUCAUGAAACGUUUGGUUGUUCUAAUUCUAUUUACUGGGGAUUCAAUUAACUGGUGCAACUUAUUCAAUUUCUACGCUACUUAUUUACAGUAAACUACAUUGUUCACUUUAUUGCUGAGGUAAUGAUCAGUUUAUCAUUUUAACUAAGGGGAACAUGAACAGUUAAAAGAAAAGUACCACCGACCCUUUUGUUUUCUAAAAGAUUCACUCAAAAGAUGCAGGUAAACACCACGCCACAUUAAUGUUGAAAUAUUAAUGUCUUUUUUUUUUAAUUGAUUAAAACAGGUGGAUCUCAUCAUCUCUUAUGGUUAACAGCUGCCUGAACAAGCCUAUCUUACAGUCAUAAUAAAGUCUAGAAAGACCAGUAUUUCUAUCUGUUUGUGUUGAAGUGUAAGUAUUGUGUGUGUAGAGUAAUAAUUUAUGUUCUGUUAACAGAUAAUUUUUUUUGUAGAGAAAGUAAGCAUCCUCAUCACAUCAUUUGUGAUGUGUUCUGUCUUCUGGAUAGACUAGGAAAUCUGAGUGGUGUUAUCAUAUGAAAUGAUUGCCUGAGGCUAUGUACUAUGCGGUUCAUCUUGGUCUUAUGAUCAACCAAUUAAAAUGUUCUAAGGAUUGAGGUUAGGAAGAGAUUAGUCAGAACCGUAAUCCUUCAAACGGGGCGGCGGUUUGGCUGUAGAAAUUUUCUGUUAAUCGCCUUAAUCCAAUGUAAGUAUAGCUCUAAUUCAUGGGUCACUUUGCAGUCAGGUUAUAAAUUAUAAUCAAAAGUUUUAUUCAAAUUUAUGGGAGAUUCACAACUUAUUGGCAAUACCUUACAUUGCUGUGUUGGAUAAUGAUCUAUUUAUUAUUUUAACUUAGGGGAGGGCAGAACGCAGAAAAGCUGCUGCAUUGUUCUGAACUUCUCAAACUCACUCAAAUUAUGCUGUUAACAAUGGUCUCUACUCUAGCUAUUAUAAGUUAGUGUUGAAAGUGGUAGUCUAGUGACAUAUUUGUGUAAUUGUGUAUAGUUUCAAUACGAUUAUCUGUUUGUAGCUGCAGUUCGUUGAUCACCUAACAUGUUUUGCUACAGCCAUUUAAUCUAGCCUAAUAAGCAG